This is a non-coding RNA of Peromyscus maniculatus bairdii (prairie deer mouse), 244 nucleotides long. Lineage: Eukaryota; Metazoa; Chordata; Mammalia; Rodentia; Cricetidae. The record is from RefSeq and is a predicted model, not a curated record.
GUUCUACGAUGCUGCAUGGGGGUUCUAGAAAUCAGGACACAUGAAGGGGAAGACAUAGAAGGAAAAGUGGCAAAUCUAUUUUGAACCUUGUAGGUUUCUCCCACUAUUAUGCACCUGAUAAGGGUCUCAAGAAAGAUCUAUAUUGUGAAUCAGAAACAGUCACAUCCAGCAAAAAAAAAAAAAAAAAUGCUAAAGGAAUAAAGAAUCAAGAUAGGUCAUGAUGCCAGAGCCCGGAGUGAUGCUG